GUCUAUGGCCAUACCACCCUGAACGCGCCCGAUCUUGUCUGAUCUCGGAAGCUAAGCAGGGUCGGGCCUGAUUAGUACUUGGACGGGAGGGAGACUGUGUGACACUGGAAU
Ribosomal RNA from Cavia aperea (Brazilian guinea pig), 111 nucleotides. The record is from Ensembl. NCBI's taxonomy places the organism in Eukaryota, Metazoa, Chordata, Mammalia, Rodentia, Caviidae.